UCUAAUAUGGCAGAAUAGUGCAAUAGAUUUAAGAUCUAUAUAUAAAGUCUUACUUUUUUUAGAA
RNAcentral lists this transfer RNA (64 nucleotides) under Pteroptyx galbina. Its description in RNAcentral is "tRNA-Leu". It matches the Rfam family "tRNA". From Rfam's summary of the family: Transfer RNA (tRNA) molecules are approximately 80 nucleotides in length. The record is from RNAcentral. Lineage: Eukaryota; Metazoa; Arthropoda; Insecta; Coleoptera; Lampyridae.